This 592-nucleotide ribosomal RNA is filed under the name uncultured Enterobacteriaceae bacterium. RNAcentral describes it as "bacterial SSU rRNA". It matches the Rfam family "Bacterial small subunit ribosomal RNA", at positions 1 to 607 of the family's 1533-position model. Lineage: Bacteria; Pseudomonadati; Pseudomonadota; Gammaproteobacteria; Enterobacterales; Enterobacteriaceae. The record is from RNAcentral.
CGCCCUUAGAGUUUGAUCAUGGCUCAGAUUGAACGCUGGCGGCAGGCUUAACACAUGCAAGUCGAACGGUAUAGGUGCUUGCACCUGACGAGUGGCGGACGGGUGAGUAAUGUAUGGGGAUCUGCCGAAUGGAUUGGGACAACCACUGGAAACGGUGGCUAAUACCGAAUAAUGUUGAGAGACCAAAGUGUUUCGACAUGCCAUUUGAUGAACCCAUAUGGGAUUAGCUAGUAGGCGGGGUAAUGGCCCACCUAGGCGACGAUCUCUAGCUGGUCUGAGAGGAUGACCAGCCACACUGGGACUGAGACACGGCCCAGACUCCUACGGGAGGCAGCAGUGGGGAAUAUUGCACAAUGGGGGAAACCCUGAUGCAGCCAUGCCGCGUGUAUGAAGAAGGCCUUCGGGUUGUAAAGUACUUUCGGUAGUGAGGAAGGUUACUAUUAACAUAGUAAAUUGACGUUAAUUACAGAAGAAGCACCGGCUAACUCCGUGCCAGCAGCCGCGGUAAUACGGAGGGUGCGAGCGUUAAUCGGAUGGACUGGGCGUAAAGGGCAUGUAGGUGGAUAAUUAGUUAGGGUGUGAAAGCCCCAAG